Molecule: ribosomal RNA, 213 nt
Filed under: uncultured bacterium
Lineage: Bacteria
Description: partial 16S ribosomal RNA
Rfam family: Bacterial small subunit ribosomal RNA
Source: RNAcentral
UACGUAGGGUGCGAGCGUUAAUCGGAAUUACUGGGCGUAAAGCGUGCGCAGGCGGUUUUGUAAGCCAGAUGUGAAAUCCCCGGGCUUAACCUGGGAAUGGCAUUUGGGACUGCAAGGCUUGAGUGCGGCAGAGGAGACUGGAAUUCCUGGGUGUAGCAGUGAAAAUGCGUAGAUAUCAGGAGGAACACCGAUGCGGAAGGCAGGUCUCUGGGC